AUACGUAGGGUGCGAGCGUUGUCCGGAAUUACUGGGCGUAAAGAGCUCGUAGGUGGUUUGUCGCGUCGUCUGUGAAAUUCCGGGGCUUAACUCCGGGCGUGCAGGCGAUACGGGCAUAACUUGAGUACUGUAGGGGAGACUGGAAUUCCUGGUGUAGCGGUGAAAUGCGCAGAUAUCAGGAGGAACACCGGUGGCGAAGGCGGGUCUCUGGGCAUGAACUGACGCUGAGGAGCGAAAGCAUGGGUAGCGAACAGGAUUAGAUACCCUGGUAGUCCAUGCCGUAAACGGUGGGCGCUAGGUGUAGGGGUCUUCCACGACUUCUGUGCCGUAGCUAACGCAUUAAGCGCCCCGCCUGGGGAGUACGGCCGCAAGGCUGAAACUCAAAUGAAUUGACGGGG
This 398-nucleotide ribosomal RNA is filed under the name uncultured bacterium. RNAcentral describes it as "partial 16S ribosomal RNA". It matches the Rfam family "Bacterial small subunit ribosomal RNA", at positions 523 to 918 of the family's 1533-position model. The record is from RNAcentral.